This 438-nucleotide ribosomal RNA is filed under the name uncultured bacterium. RNAcentral describes it as "partial 16S ribosomal RNA". It matches the Rfam family "Bacterial small subunit ribosomal RNA", at positions 339 to 795 of the family's 1533-position model. The record is from RNAcentral.
CUACGGGUGGCUCCAGUGAGGAAUAUUGCACAAUGGGGGGAACCCUGAUGCAGCAACGCCGCGUGGAGGAUGACGCAUUUCGGUGUGUAAACUCCUUUUAUAUGUCAAGAAAAUGACGGUAGCAUAUGAAUAAGCACCGGCUAACUCCGUGCCAGCAGCCGCGGUAAUACGGAGGGUGCAAGCGUUACUCGGAAUCACUGGGCGUAAAGGACGCGUAGGCGGGUUGGAAAGUCAGGUGUGAAAUCCUACAGCUUAACUGUAGAACUGCACUUGAAACUUCUAAUCUAGAGUAUGGGAGGGGGAGAUGGAAUUAGUGGUGUAGGGGUAAAAUCCGUAGAUAUCACUAGGAAUACCUAAAGCGAAGGCGAUCUCCUGGAACAUUACUGACGCCAAGGCGUGAAAGCGUGGGGAGCAAACAGGAUUAAUACCCUCGUAGUC